UAAACUCUCAUCUAUCUCUUGCGCUGGCCUUCUAUGUCACUCCGGCUCUCUAAAUCUCUCUCACAAUCUGGUUUUUUGUUUGUCGUUGGCUCUCUCUCUCUCCCAGCCUCUUCCUCCAUUCCCGAGUAGAUUAUUCAACACUCUCAGCCUCUUUGUGACAGGCUUGUGUUUGGUUUGUUUAGAACCUACCAGAUACGCUAGGGACCUCCUGCCCAAGUAUUUGAAGCACAAUCCCCUCUCCAGCUUUGUUAGGCAAUUGAACACCUAUGAAAUUCAAGAGAGGGUAUUUCGGUGUAAGCCAUUCCCUUCUAUUUUUCAGUUUGGUUUUUAUUUCUAAAAGAGGAGCUGCAGAUGCCCAUAUCAAAUUCAUAAGAGAAAAAGAAUCAUUUUGCUGGAUAUACU
Molecule: long non-coding RNA, 402 nt
Organism: Prunus dulcis (almond)
Lineage: Eukaryota; Viridiplantae; Streptophyta; Magnoliopsida; Rosales; Rosaceae
Exons: 3
Source: RefSeq, a predicted model, not a curated record